UCAAGUAAUUAAGUGCAUGUGGUGGAUGCCUUGGCAGUCAGAGGCGAUGAAAGACGUGAUAGCCUGCGAAAAGCUCCGGGGAGGCGGCAAAUAUCCUUUGAUCCGGAGAUGUCUGAAUGGGGGAACCCACCUACUUUAAGGUAGGUAUUGCAACAUGAAUACAUAGUGUUGCAAGGCGAACGAGGGGAAGUGAAACAUCUCAGUACCCUUAGGAAAAGAAAUCAAUUGAGAUUCCCUCAGUAGCGGCGAGCGAACGGGGAUCAGCCCAUUAAGUUAUGUGUGUUUUAGUGGAACGCUCUGGGAAGUGCGAACGUAGAGGGUGAUAUUCCCGUACACGAAAGGGCACACAUAAUGAUGACGAGUAGGGCGAGGCACGUGAAACCUUGUCUGAAUAUGGGGGGACCAUCCUCCAAGGCUAAAUACUCCUGACUGACCGAUAGUGAACCAGUACCGUGAGGGAAAGGCGAAAAGAACCCCUGUGAGGGGAGUGAAAUAGAUCCUGAAACCGCAUGCAUACAAGCAGUGGGAGCACCUUCGUGGUGUGACUGCGUACCUUUUGUAUAAUGGGUCAGCGACUUAUAUUCAGUAGCAAGGUUAACCGUAUAGGGGAGCCGUAGAGAAAUCGAGUCUUAAUAGGGCGUUUAGUUGCUGGGUAUAGACCCGAAACCAGGCGAUCUAUCCAUGAGCAGGUUGAAGGUUGGGUAACACUAACUGGAGGACCGAACCCACUGUCGUUGAAAAGCCAGGGGAUGACUUGUGGAUAGGGGUGAAAGGCUAAUCAAGCCUGGUGAUAGCUGGUUCUCCCCGAAAGCUAUUUAGGUAGCGCCUCGGACGAAUACCAUAGGGGGUAGAGCACUGUUUCGGCUAGGGGGUCAUCCCGACUUACCAAACCGAUGCAAACUCCGAAUACCUAUGAGUACUAUCCGGGAGACAGACUGCGGGUGCUAACGUCCGUAGUCAAGAGGAAAACAAUCCAGACCGCCAGCUAAGGCCCCAAAAUCAUAGUUAAGUGGGAAACGAUGUGGGAAGGCAUAGACAGCUAGGAGGUUGGCUUAGAAGCAGCCACCCUUUAAAGAAAGCGUAAUAGCUCACUAGUCGAGUCGGCCUGCGCGGAAGAUGUAACGGGGCUAAAACUAUGUGCCGAAGCUGCGGAUGUAUACUUUGUAUACGUGGUAGGGGAGCGUUCUGUAAGCCGAUGAAGGUGUGUUGAGAAGCAUGCUGGAGGUAUCAGAAGUGCGAAUGCUGACGUGAGUAACGACAAAACGGGUGAAAAACCCGUUCGCCGUUGACAUUAGUCAAGUGGUAGGGGAGCGUUCUGUAAGCCGAUGAAGGUGUAUUGAGAAGUAUGCUGGAGGUAUCAGAAGUGCGAAUGCUGACGUGAGUAACGACAAAACGGGUGAAAAACCCGUUCGCCGAAAGACCAAGGGUUCCAGUCCAACGUUAAUCGGGGCUGGGUGAGUCGACCCCUAAGGCGAGGCCGAAAGGCGUAGUCGAUGGGAAAAUGGUUAAUAUUCCAUUACUUCUGUGUAAUGCGAUGAGAGGACGGAGAAGGCUAAAUCAGCCUGGCGUUGGUUGUCCAGGUGAAAGGAUGUAGGCAUGUAUCUUAGGCAAAUCCGGGGUACUCUAUGCUGAGAUCUGAUAGCAAGCUGUACUUGUACAGCGAAGUGGUUGAUGCCAUGCUUCCAGGAAAAGUCUCUAAGCUUCAGUUACACAGGAAUCGUACCCGAAACCGACACAGGUGGUCAGGUCGAGUAGACCAAGGCGCUUGAGAGAACUCUGCUGAAGGAACUAGGCAAAAUGGUACCGUAACUUCGGGAGAAGGUACGCUGUUGUUGGUGAUGGAACUCGCUUCCUGAGCUGACGACAGCCGCAGAAACCAGGCCGCUGCAACUGUUUAUUAAAAACAUAGCACUCUGCAAACACGAAAGUGGACGUAUAGGGUGUGAUGCCUGCCCGGUGCUGGAAGGUUAAUUGAUGGGGUUAGCGUAAGCGAAGCUCUUGAUCGAAGCCCCAGUAAACGGCGGCCGUAACUAUAACGGUCCUAAGGUAGCGAAAUUCCUUGUCGGGUAAGUUCCGACCUGCACGAAUGGCAUAAUGAUGGCGGCGCUGUCUCCAGCAGAGGCUCAGUGAAAUCGAAAUCGCUGUGAAGAUGCAGUGUACCCGCGGCUAGACGGAAAGACCCCGUGAACCUUUACUGCAGCUUGACACUGAACUUUGACCUUACUUGUGUAGGAUAGGUGGGAGGCUUUGAAGCUGGAACGCUAGUUCCAGUGGAGCCGUCCUUGAAAUACCACCCUGGUAAUGUUGAGGUUCUAACUCUGUCCCGUGAUCCGGGACGAGGACCGUGUCUGGUGGGUAGUUUGACUGGGGCGGUCUCCUCCUAAAGAGUAACGGAGGAGUACGAAGGUGCGCUCAGCGUGGUCGGAAAUCACGCGUAGAGUAUAAAGGCAAAAGCGCGCUUAACUGCGAGACCCACAAGUCGAGCAGGUACGAAAGUAGGUCUUAGUGAUCCGGUGGUUCUGUAUGGAAGGGCCAUCGCUCAACGGAUAAAAGGUACUCUGGGGAUAACAGGCUGAUACCGCCCAAGAGUUCAUAUCGACGGCGGUGUUUGGCACCUCGAUGUCGGCUCAUCUCAUCCUGGGGCUGAAGCAGGUCCCAAGGGUAUGGCUGUUCGCCAUUUAAAGAGGUACGCGAGCUGGGUUUAGAACGUCGUGAGACAGUUCGGUCCCUAUCUACCGUGGGCGCUGGAAAUUUGAGAGGAUCUGCUCCUAGUACGAGAGGACCAGAGUGGACGAACCUCUGGUGUACCGGUUGUGACGCCAGUCGCAUCGCCGGGUAGCUAUGUUCGGAAGGGAUAACCGCUGAAAGCAUCUAAGCGGGAAGCCUACCUCAAGAUAAGAUUUCCCUAGGACUUUAUGUCCUCUAAAGAGCCGUUCGAGACUAGGACGUUGAUAGGUUGGAUGUGGAAGCAUAGUGAUAUGUGAAGCUGACCAAUACUAAUUGCUCGUGAGGCUUGACUAU
RNAcentral lists this ribosomal RNA (3021 nucleotides) under Acinetobacter baumannii. Its description in RNAcentral is "bacterial LSU rRNA". It matches the Rfam family "Bacterial large subunit ribosomal RNA". The record is from RNAcentral. Lineage: Bacteria; Pseudomonadati; Pseudomonadota; Gammaproteobacteria; Moraxellales; Moraxellaceae.